This 253-nucleotide ribosomal RNA is filed under the name uncultured bacterium. RNAcentral's name for it is "partial 16S ribosomal RNA". It matches the Rfam family "Bacterial small subunit ribosomal RNA", at positions 524 to 776 of the family's 1533-position model. The record is from RNAcentral.
UACGGAGGGGGCUAGCGUUGUUCGGAAUUACUGGGCGUAAAGCGCACGUAGGCGGCUUUGCAAGUUAGAGGUGAAAGCCCGGGGCUCAACUCCGGAAUUGCCUUUAAAACUGCAUCGCUAGAAUUGUGGAGAGGUAAGUGGAAUUCCGAGUGUAGAGGUGAAAUUCGUAGAUAUCCGGAAGAACACCGGUGGCGAAGGCGGUCUGCUGGGCAGUUGCUGACACUGAGGCGCGACAGCGUGGGGAGCAAACAGG